AGGUUAAGCUGAUAAGGGCGCAGGGAGGAUGCCUUGGCACUAAGAGCCGAAGAAGGACGUGAUAAGCUGCGAUAAGCUGCGGUUAGGAGCAAAUAUCCGCUAACCCGCAGAUUUCCGAAUGGGGAAACCCGGCAGAGAAAACCUCUGUCAUCCAUACGCCAAUACAUAACGUAUGGAAGGGAACCCGGUGAACUGAAACAUCUAAGUAGCCGGAGGAAGAGAAAGAAACAUCGAUUUCCUGAGUAGCGGCGAGCGAAAGGGAAGGAGCCUAAACCGCGGUGCGUGCACCGCGGGGUCAUGGACUGCAAAAGUGAGCUGAAAGCUAGAAGAAUGGUUUUGGGAAAGCCAGCCAGAGAGAGUGAAAGCCUCGUAUUCGAAAGCGGAAGGCAGCGGCAGGAUCCGGAGUACCACGAGACACGUGGAACCUUGUGGGAAAUCGGGGGGACCACCCCCCAAGGCUAAAUACUACUUAGUGACCGAUAGCGCAUAGUACUGUGAAGGAAAGGUGAAAAGAACCCCGGGAGGGGAGUGAAAGAGAACCUGAAACCCUGUGUCUACAAGCUGUGGAAGCACUAUAUAUGUG
This 583-nucleotide ribosomal RNA is filed under the name Roseburia sp. AM59-24XD. RNAcentral's name for it is "partial 23S ribosomal RNA". It matches the Rfam family "Bacterial large subunit ribosomal RNA", at positions 1 to 593 of the family's 2925-position model. The record is from RNAcentral. Lineage: Bacteria; Bacillati; Bacillota; Clostridia; Lachnospirales; Lachnospiraceae.